RNAcentral lists this ribosomal RNA (460 nucleotides) under uncultured bacterium. RNAcentral describes it as "partial 16S ribosomal RNA". It matches the Rfam family "Bacterial small subunit ribosomal RNA", at positions 28 to 499 of the family's 1533-position model. The record is from RNAcentral.
GACGAACGCUGGCGGCGUGCUUAACACAUGCAAGUCGAACGGAAAGGCCCUGCUUUUGUGGGGUGCUCGAGUGGCGAACGGGUGAGUAACACGUGAGUAACCUGCCCUUGACUUUGGGAUAACUUCAGGAAACUGGGGCUAAUACCGGAUAGGAGCUCCUGCUGCAUGGUGGGGGUUGGAAAGUUUCGGCGGUUGGGGAUGGACUCGCGGCUUAUCAGCUUGUUGGUGGGGUAGUGGCUUACCAAGGCUUUGACGGGUAGCCGGCCUGAGAGGGUGACCGGCCACAUUGGGACUGAGAUACGGCCCAGACUCCUACGGGAGGCAGCAGUGGGGAAUAUUGCACAAUGGGCGGAAGCCUGAUGCAGCAACGCCGCGGGCGGGAUGACGGCCUUCGGGUUGUAAACCGCUUUCGCCUGUGACGAAGCGUGAGUGACGGGAAUGGGUAAAGAAGCACCGGCUA